GUGCUUGCUUCAGCAGCACAUAUACUAAAAUUGGAACAUUAAUGAGAAGAUAAGCAUGGCUACUGCUCAAGAAUAAAACAGAUAUUCAUGAAGUGUUCUAUAUUUUU
This 107-nucleotide small nuclear RNA is filed under the name Mus caroli (Ryukyu mouse). The record is from RNAcentral. Lineage: Eukaryota; Metazoa; Chordata; Mammalia; Rodentia; Muridae.